AUGGCGGAGCAGUCUGUGCGCCGUGGGGUGUUGGCGGAGCCCGACGAGGAUGAGUGGCUCCUCACUUGGGUCUACCGUCAGUCGCUCACGAUGGUGGAGACGGACGCUCGCCGCCUACGGAAGAAGAACGCGAAGGCGCUCUGGCUUGUCAUAGAGCAGCUGGAGCGCGAGUCGAAGGAGGCGGCGGCGGAGGCCGCUCGGCUCAUGAAGUUGAAGCGGCAGCAGGACAGGGUCGUCCGCCGGAAGAAGGGGUUGAUCGUCCUCUCCGACUCCAACUCCGAUGACGUGAUGGCGACGACCACAACUCCAUCUCCUCCCCUGAUGACCAAGAUCCUCCACCAGUCGCGGAAGCUUACAGCUAUGCCGACGAACGGAAGGGAAAGGCCCCGCGAGGAAGUGGUGAUGACGCUCCUCCUAUAUUUUUAUCGUUUUAGUUGUUGA
Molecule: ribosomal RNA, 441 nt
Filed under: Triticum aestivum (bread wheat)
Lineage: Eukaryota; Viridiplantae; Streptophyta; Magnoliopsida; Poales; Poaceae
Description: partial small subunit ribosomal RNA
Source: RNAcentral